This 235-nucleotide unclassified non-coding RNA is filed under the name plant metagenome. RNAcentral's name for it is "partial contains small subunit ribosomal RNA, internal transcribed spacer 1, and 5.8S ribosomal RNA". The stretch from base 1 to 54 matches the Rfam family "Eukaryotic small subunit ribosomal RNA", at positions 1778 to 1831 of the family's 1831-position model. The record is from RNAcentral.
GGAAGUAAAAGACGUAACAAGGUUUCCGUAGGUGAACCUGCGGAAGGAUCAUUAAAAAUGAAGCCGGGAAACCGGUCCUUCUCACCCUUGAUUAUCUCAAUUUGUUGCUUUGGUGGGCCGCGCAAGCACCGGCUUCGGCUGGAUCGUGCCCGCCAGAGGACCACAACUCUGUAUUACAUGUCGUCUGAGUACUAUAAAAUAGUUAAAACUUUCAACAACGGAUCUCUUGGUUCUG